Molecule: ribosomal RNA, 565 nt
Filed under: uncultured archaeon
Lineage: Archaea
Description: bacterial SSU rRNA
Rfam family: Archaeal small subunit ribosomal RNA
Source: RNAcentral
CGGGGUGCAGAGGCGCGAAAACUUUACAAUGCCGGCAACGGCGAUAAGGGAACCUCGAGUGCCAGGUUACAAAUCUGGCUGUCGUGAUGCCUAAAAAGCAUUGCAUAGCAAGGGCCGGGCAAGACCGGUGCCAGCCGCCGCGGUAACACCGGCGGCUCGAGUGGUAACCGUUAUUAUUGGGUCUAAAGGGUCUGUAGCCGGCCGGAUAAGUCUCUUGGGAAAUCUGGCAGCUUAACUGUCAGGCUUUCAGGAGAUACUGUCUGGCUCGAGGCCGGGAGAGGUGAGAGGUACUUCAGGGGUAGGGGUGAAAUCUUGUAAUCCUUGAAGGACCACCAGUGGCGAAGGCGUCUCACCAGAACGGACCUGACGGCAAGGGACGAAAGCUAGGGGCACGAACCGGAUUAGAUACCCGGGUAGUCCUAGCCGUAAACGAUACUCGCUAGGUGUCGGCCACGGUGCGACCGUGGUCGGUGCCGUAGGGAAGCCGUGAAGCGAGCCACCUGGGAAGUACGGCCGCAAGGCUGAAACUUAAAGGAAUUGGCGGGGGAGCACAAGGGCGAUUCGC